Molecule: small nuclear RNA, 18 nt
Filed under: Arabidopsis thaliana (thale cress)
Lineage: Eukaryota; Viridiplantae; Streptophyta; Magnoliopsida; Brassicales; Brassicaceae
Description: snRNA_14444
Source: RNAcentral
CAAUGUAGGCAAGGGAAG